AUUUAUGAGAAUUGUUCUCAAUAAUAUAUGAUUACUGAUGGAAGUACUUCAUGAUGAACACUGUCUCUUUGGACUAAUGGUAUGGUAGAUCUCUCUACCAGUACAAUUGAACUAACAGCCAGUCAGUUGCAAACAAAAGUUUGACAAUCAACCUGAAACAAGACCUUCAUUGGUCAAGUUUAUAAAAUCUUGUCAAGCUAUGGAUAUUGCACUGACACAGACCUAUAAAAAAGGUCUACAAUUCAAAACAAACACUGAUGAAGGAUGAAGUCAACCAAGACUAGAAUAAUUUUUUUGUGCUGGGGGACUGACUUACAACAGCAGUAUUUCACAUGAAAUCACAUCUCAGAUGAGACUGCAAGAUUGAGAUUUUUUUUCCUUCAAAAUCCAUUUAUGGAGAACUUAUUUAAAAGCUGUAAAGACCA
This 425-nucleotide long non-coding RNA is filed under the name Exaiptasia diaphana. RNAcentral describes it as "uncharacterized LOC110243952". The record is from RNAcentral. Lineage: Eukaryota; Metazoa; Cnidaria; Anthozoa; Actiniaria; Aiptasiidae.